RNAcentral lists this ribosomal RNA (501 nucleotides) under uncultured bacterium. Its description in RNAcentral is "partial 16S ribosomal RNA". It matches the Rfam family "Bacterial small subunit ribosomal RNA", at positions 29 to 523 of the family's 1533-position model. The record is from RNAcentral.
AUUGAACGCUGGCGGCAUGCCUUACACAUGCAAGUCGAACGGCAGCACGGGUGCUCGCACCUGGUGGCGAGUGGCGAACGGGUGAGUAAUACAUCGGAACGUACCUUAUCGUGGGGGAUAACGCAGCGAAAGCUGUGCUAAUACCGCAUACGCCCUGAGGGGGAAAGCGGGGGAUCGCAAGACCCCGCGCGAUUAGAGCGGCCGAUGCCUGAUUAGCUUGUUGGUGGGGUAAAAGCCCACCAAGGCGACGAUCAGUAGCUGGUCUGAGAGGACGAUCAGCCACACUGGGACUGAGACACGGCCCAGACUCCUACGGGAGGCAGCAGUGGGGAAUUUUGGACAAUGGGGGCAACCCUGAUCCAGCAAUGCCGCGUGAGUGAAGAAGGCCUUCGGGUUGUAAAGCUCUUUUGUCAGGGAAGAAACACCGGCUCUAACACAGUCCGGGAAUGACGGUACCUGAAGAAUAAGCACCGGCUAACUACGUGCCAGCCGCCGCGGUAA